Molecule: ribosomal RNA, 497 nt
Filed under: uncultured soil bacterium
Lineage: Bacteria
Description: bacterial SSU rRNA
Rfam family: Bacterial small subunit ribosomal RNA
Source: RNAcentral
AGAUUGAACGCUGGCGGCAGGCCUAACACAUGCAAGUCGAGCGGUAGAGAGGUGCUUGCACCUCUUGAGAGCGGCGGACGGGUGAGUAAAGCCUAGGAAUCUGCCUGGUAGUGGGGGAUAACGCUCGGAAACGGACGCUAAUACCGCAUACGUCCUACGGGAGAAAGCAGGGGACCUUCGGGCCUUGCGCUAUCAGAUGAGCCUAGGUCGGAUUAGCUAGUUGGUGAGGUAAUGGCUCACCAAGGCGACGACCCGUAACUGGUCUGAGAGGAUGAUCAGUCACACUGGAACUGAGACACGGUCCAGACUCUACGGGAGGCAGCAGUGGGAAUAUUGGACAAUGGGCGAAAGCCUGAUCCAGCCAUGCCGCGUGUGUGAAGAAGGUCUUCGGAUUAGUAAAGCAACUUUAAGUUGGGAGGAAGGCAGUUAACCUAAUACGUUAGUGUUUUGAACGUUACCGACAGAAUAAGCACCGGCUAACUCUGUGCCAGCAGCCG